GGCUAUGUAGCUCAGCCGGUUAGAGCACAGCACUCAUAAUGCUGGGGUCGGUGGUUCGAGUCCACCCAUAGCCACCAU
RNAcentral lists this transfer RNA (78 nucleotides) under Lysobacter enzymogenes. RNAcentral describes it as "tRNA-Met". It matches the Rfam family "tRNA". From Rfam's summary of the family: Transfer RNA (tRNA) molecules are approximately 80 nucleotides in length. Their secondary structure includes four short double-helical elements and three loops (D, anti-codon, and T loops). Lineage: Bacteria; Pseudomonadati; Pseudomonadota; Gammaproteobacteria; Lysobacterales; Lysobacteraceae. The record is from RNAcentral.